RNAcentral lists this ribosomal RNA (725 nucleotides) under uncultured bacterium. RNAcentral describes it as "bacterial SSU rRNA". It matches the Rfam family "Bacterial small subunit ribosomal RNA", at positions 771 to 1501 of the family's 1533-position model. The record is from RNAcentral.
AACAGGAUUAGAUACCCUGGUAGUCCACGCCCUAAACGAUGUCUACUAGUUGUCGGGUUUUAAUUAACUUGGUAACGCAGCUAACGCGUGAAGUAGACCGCCUGGGGAGUACGGUCGCAAGAUUAAAACUCAAAGGAAUUGACGGGGACCCGCACAAGCGGUGGAUGAUGUGGAUUAAUUCGAUGCAACGCGAAAAACCUUACCUACCCUUGACAUGGAAGGAAUCCUGAAGAGAUUUGGGAGUGCCCGAAAGGGAACCUUCACACGGGUGCUGCAUGGCUGUCGUCAGCUCGUGUCGUGAGAUGUUGGGUUAAGUCCCGCAACGAGCGCAACCCUUGUCAUUAGUUGCUACGCAAGAGCACUCUAAUGAGACUGCCGGUGACAAACCGGAGGAAGGUGGGGAUGACGUCAAGUCCUCAUGGCCCUUAUGGGUAGGGCUUCACACGUCAUACAAUGGUACAUACAGAGGGCCGCCAACCCGCGAGGGGGAGCUAAUCCCAGAAAGUGUAUCGUAGUCCGGAUUGUAGUCUGCAACUCGACUACAUGAAGUUGGAAUCGCUAGUAAUCGCGGAUCAGCAUGUCGCGGCGAAUACGUUCCCGGGUCUUGUACACACCGCCCGUCACACCAUGGGAGCGGGUUUUACCAGAAGUAGGUAGCUUAACCGCAAGGAGGGCGCUUACCACGGUAAGAUUCGUGACUGGGGUGAAGUCGUAACAAGGUAACC